AGUCAACAUGCCCAGAGGACGUGGAUAACCUCGGGAAACUGAGGAUAAACCGCGAUAGGUCAUAAUUACUGGAAUGUGUUAUGGCCCAAAUCUAUAUGGCCUCUGGAUUGGACUGCGGCCGAUCAGGCUGUUGGUGAGGUAAUGGCCCACCAAACCUUUUACCGGUACGGGCUCUGAGAGGAGGAGCCCGGAGAUGGGCACUGAGACAAGGGCCCAGGCCCUAUGGGGCGCAGCAGGCGCGAAACCUCUGCAAUAGGCGAAAGCCUGACAGGGUUACUCUGAGUGAUUCCCGCUAAGGGAAUCUUUUGGCAUCUCUAAAAAUGGUGCAGAAUAAGGGGUGGGCAAGUCUGGUGUCAGCCGCCGCGGUAAUACCAGCACCCCGAGUGGUCGGGACGAUUAUUGGGCCUAAAGCAUCCGUAGCCGGUCUUGCAAGUCUUCCGUUAAAUCCAGCUGCUUAACAGAUGGGCUGCGGAGGAUACUACAAGGCUAGGAGGCGGGAGAGGCAAGCGGUACUCAGUGGGUAGGGGUAAAAUCCUCUGAUCCAUUGAAGACCACCAGUGGCGAAGGCGGCUUGCCAGAACGCGCUCGACGGUGAGGGAUGAAAGCUGGGGGAGCAAACCGGAUUAGAUACCCGGGUAGUCCCAGCUGUAAACGAUGCAGACUCGGUGAUGGGCCGGCUUUAUGCCGGCUCGGUGCCGCAGGGAAGCCGUUAAGUCUGCCGCCUGGGGAGUACGGUCGCAAGACUGAAACUUAA
Molecule: ribosomal RNA, 754 nt
Filed under: uncultured archaeon
Lineage: Archaea
Description: bacterial SSU rRNA
Rfam family: Archaeal small subunit ribosomal RNA
Source: RNAcentral